CACGAGGCCAUGUGAAGACCUGUGUCUUUCCCAUUUACUCUGCCAUUCAUUUUAACAGGAUUUUAAUGCAGCUGCAUGUUUUCAACUGUACUUAACGGACCCUGCUCAUGACUUCUUGAAACACCUUCAUGGACACAUCCAUAAAUCAUGUUUUAUCAACUAUCUGGUCAUCCCGUAGCCCAGUCAGGUUGACACAUAGAAUUGACGAUUCCACCUGCCCUCCUGGCAAGUAUGUAAAGUUCAGCAAUGAGCAUCAGACCCAGAGCCAAAGAGCAUCCUUGCUGGAUUUUUGUGUCUAGAGACAAAGUAAGAGAAGUUUGUGUGAGCUUCUUAUCAGCGAUUAAAGAUAUGAAGAAAACAGAAGCUGUACCACCUGUAUUCCAUUUAUUCAAGAGAAGCAGAGGAAGGAGAGAAAAAGGAAAGCCAAUAUGCAACCUGUGCAAAGCAAAAAUCCCAGAGAGAUGAAGGUGUUGGUUUUUGCUUUUGUUUUUGCCAUGAGGAUUUUGAAGUCCUUUUGCCAAACCUGCCAUUCUGGACAAUUGUUUGAUGACUUAUCAAACUGUCAUAUCCUUUCAACAAAUCUGUUUUGUUUUGUAUUGUUUUGAUUUAAGCUAAUAGGGUUUGUUUCUGGCUUUUGCCAGAAACAAAAAAGUGAGUCUUGUCUAAUAUAGGUCAAUGGCUUUAUAUAUAAAGCUAUUGUAUUAGGACUGUUUACAACAUGAAAACAACAACAACAACAGACGUGAAAUAAUCCACAAUGUAAAUGUAGUUAAAUAAGUCAUGGUAAAAACUAUAAAAAUGAAAUAUGUUGUAGCCUUUAAAACUAUGUUUCCAAAGAUUGUUAAAUAAUCAGUGUUUAUGUAAGAAACUAUUAAGUGAGAACGCAGAAUACAAAACUAAUCAAUAUUAAUUAUGUGUGUUUGUACAUACAUAGAUGAAUGUUUAGAAGAAAAAACAUGAAAAUAUCAGGAGCAGUCAACUGUGGGUGGUGGGCUCACAGGUGGCAUGGUGUUCACGUGCUCUUUUACUUAACAAGUAAGGAUUUAUUUUUACAUGUAGAGAAAAUUAUAAAAUAUUAUUUUCAAUAUUACAUUUAUUCCUAUGUAAACAUAAUAUUUAGUUUAGUACUUAAGCAAAUUAUGUGAAAUUUCAAGUUAAUAGAGUCAAAUUACUGAAUUAUUUAUUUUGUAGAGAGAAAGCCAGAGAAUGAAUGUAUUCUAAGUAGUCUUUAUUCUCUGUGAACAUUUAUACAAACAAACCACAGAGGUAUCUCUCCCCAUAAAUUAGAUUUUUAAGUGACUUUUUCAUUAAACAAAUAUUAAGAAAGUAUAAUAAUUACUUGAGUUGUGUUAAAUUCUUCCUUUAAUUAAGAAAUGAAGCCCACAAUAGGUAAGGUAAUUCUUAUGCUGAAAAAGUAUGUAAUUCCAAUUAUGCGCACAAGCACUGUGUAAUGAAUUGAACCCUUUAUCUUUUGCCUUCUAAAAAAAAUACAUCAUCUGGCUUUUUAAAUGCUUCAGUUUAAAUACUUUUGUUGAUUUUUUGCAAUAGAGGCCUGCUCUCUGGAAAAGUAAUAGUAUAGGCUAACAAUCAAUUUUUUUAAGUAAAGAGAUUAAAAAAUAAACUGAAUAAGCAAAAUAAGGGCUUUUUUCUAACUGAAGACUGAUUUUUGGUACAGGCUAAUGUUACUACAACACCUAGAAAUUAAACACAAUAAAUAAAUAAAUGUAUAUGACUAUAAAGAAUGCCUUAAACAUUAAGUAAUUCAAUUUCAUUUUAUAAAACCACAAUAUACAUAAAGCCAGGUAAUUCAUUUGAAAAUCACUGAAUAAGAAAUUAUAUAAUCUGGCUCUUGAAAAAUUUUAGCUAUGUCCAAAAUGGUUACAAAUAUUUCACAUAUUGAAAACCCA
RNAcentral lists this long non-coding RNA (1907 nucleotides) under Homo sapiens (human). RNAcentral describes it as "HSALNT0018898". The record is from RNAcentral. Lineage: Eukaryota; Metazoa; Chordata; Mammalia; Primates; Hominidae.